This 329-nucleotide unclassified non-coding RNA is filed under the name soil metagenome. RNAcentral's name for it is "partial contains 5.8S ribosomal RNA, internal transcribed spacer 2, and large subunit ribosomal RNA". The stretch from base 1 to 120 matches the Rfam family "5.8S ribosomal RNA", at positions 35 to 154 of the family's 154-position model. The record is from RNAcentral.
GAUGAAGAACGUAGCGAAAUGCGAUAAGUAAUGUGAAUUGCAGAAUUCAGUGAAUCAUCGAAUCUUUGAACGCACAUUGCGCCCCCUGGUAUUCCGGGGGGCAUGCCUGUCCGAGCGUCAUUACAACCCUCAAGCUCAGCUUGGUGUUGGGCCCCGCCGCCCCGGCGGGCCCUAAAGUCAGUGGCGGUGCCGUCCGGCUCCGAGCGUAGUAAUUCUUCUCGCUCUGGAGGUCCGGUCGUGUGCUCGCCAGCAACCCCCAAUUUUUUUCAGGUUGACCUCGGAUCAGGUAGGGAUACCCGCUGAACUUAAACAUAUCAAUAAGCGGAGGA